GUGGGGAAUCUUGCGCAAUGGGCGAAAGCCUGACGCAGCCAUGCCGCGUGAAUGAUGAAGGUCUUAGGAUUGUAAAAUUCUUUCACCGGGGACGAUAAUGACGGUACCCGGAGAAGAAGCCCCGGCUAACUUCGUGCCAGCAGCCGCGGUAAUACGAAGGGGGCUAGCGUUGCUCGGAAUUACUGGGCGUAAAGGGCGCGUAGGCGGACAGUUUAGUCAGAGGUGAAAGCCCAGGGCUCAACCUUGGAAUUGCCUUUGAUACUGGCUGUCUUGAGUACGGGAGAGGUGAGUGGAACUCCGAGUGUAGAGGUGAAAUUCGUAGAUAUUCGGAAGAACACCAGUGGCGAAGGCGACUCACUGGCCCGUUACUGACGCUGAGGCGCGAAAGCGUGGGGAGCGAACGGGAUUAGAAACCCGGGUAGUCC
Molecule: ribosomal RNA, 425 nt
Filed under: uncultured bacterium
Lineage: Bacteria
Description: partial 16S ribosomal RNA
Rfam family: Bacterial small subunit ribosomal RNA
Source: RNAcentral